AGCAAUGGGUCCAUGUGCCAUGCAAUAAUUUUGGUUUAUUUAAAAUUCAUGAAAUCCAAUUCCAUGUCACCAAUAAUUGCCACAUCAUCUGAGCCUAAUCCCCUUGGGUUGCACCUAAUCAAAUUUGGUCAAACCCGAAUUAAAACAAAGCAAUUUGGUUGAACCCAAUCUAACCAGGUCAGACCCCGAUUGAGCUCAAAUUGAAUCCAAUUCAAUUUUGGCUCAUGCAAACUCAAUCAAAUUGAAUUAUUACUUUGUGUUGGACCUAAUUCAAUUAGGUCAAUCCCCAAUUAAGAACAAAUUAAUUUAAAAUUAAUUUGAUCAGCUUAAGUCCUUUUUGGUUCUAACCUAAUCCAAUCAGGUCAAAACCCUGAUUGAGCCCAAACUUGAAUCCAAUUCAAUUUGGCUCAUCCUUAGCACAAUUACUCAAUCAAAUUGAGUUUAUUAGUAAUUUAAUUACUAAUUAAUCCUUCAAUAAUUACUUUAA
This 487-nucleotide long non-coding RNA is filed under the name Phoenix dactylifera (date palm). RNAcentral describes it as "long non-coding RNA (PDAC_LNC022205)". Lineage: Eukaryota; Viridiplantae; Streptophyta; Magnoliopsida; Arecales; Arecaceae. The record is from RNAcentral.